UGCGGGGGGACUACUUGUAGUUGAGAAGGUUAAAACCUGACCCUUUGAACCUGAUCACAGUUAAUACUGGCGUAGGGAAGCAUUUU
Molecule: non-coding RNA, 86 nt
Filed under: Clostridium amazonitimonense
Lineage: Bacteria; Bacillati; Bacillota; Clostridia; Eubacteriales; Clostridiaceae
Description: TPP riboswitch (THI element)
Rfam family: TPP riboswitch aptamer (THI element)
About the family: Vitamin B(1) in its active form thiamin pyrophosphate (TPP) is an essential coenzyme that is synthesised by coupling of pyrimidine and thiazole moieties in bacteria. The previously detected thiamin-regulatory element, thi box was extended, resulting in a new, highly conserved RNA secondary structure, the THI element, which is widely distributed in eubacteria and also occurs in some archaea.
Source: RNAcentral